Molecule: transfer RNA, 68 nt
Filed under: Marmota monax (woodchuck)
Lineage: Eukaryota; Metazoa; Chordata; Mammalia; Rodentia; Sciuridae
Description: tRNA.Ala
Source: RNAcentral
GGAUUGUGGCUCAGCGGUAGAGUGCUCACCUAGCACGUGCAAGGCCCUGGGUUCAAUCCUCAGCACCA